Molecule: long non-coding RNA, 370 nt
Filed under: Physcomitrium patens
Lineage: Eukaryota; Viridiplantae; Streptophyta; Bryopsida; Funariales; Funariaceae
Description: long non-coding RNA (PPAT_LNC002211)
Source: RNAcentral
GUUGUUAUCAGUUGAUGAAGGAGUAUUGUUAUUGAGAGAAAGUAUUGUAGUGUUCCUUGGUGUUUUAGUAGUUUAGAAUACGGUUAAUUGUCUGACCAAACAAGUAAAAUUCAUGUAUUUAGUCUUUCACUGUGUUCGAAUUCUCCUAUGUAGGUUUAUUUUGAAAGAAAUUGUAGAAUAAGUAAAAUGAUAAUCACAUUUUGGCACUACUACUAAAGAUAGAUAAUAGCAUUGAGUGUUAGAAAUUAACUGCCAGUUUAGUUAGAUGGGAGAUAGAAAGCAAAUUUAGUAGAAUAUAAUGAAAGAGUAUGGUUAUUAAGAAUGAGAACUUAACAGUAAAGAGAAUAUGACAGUCCAAAAAAAAGAAUAG